AACGAACGCUGGCGGCGCGCCUAAUACAUGCAAGUCGAGCGAGAAGACGUAGCAAUACGUUUGUAAAGCGGCGAACGGGUGAGGAAUACAUGGGUAACCUACCCUCGAGUGGGGAAUAACUAGCCGAAAGGUUAGCUAAUACCGCGUACGCUCCUUGGACUUCGGUUCAGGGAGGAAAGCGAUACCGUGGGUAUCGCGCUCUUGGAUGGGCUCAUGUCCUAUCAGCUUGUUGGUGAGGUAACGGCUCACCAAGGCUUCGACGGGUAGCUGGUCUGAGAGGACGAUCAGCCACACUGGCACUGCGACACGGCCCAGACUCCUACGGGAGGCAGCAGUGGGGGAUAUUGCGCAAUGGGCGAAAGCCUGACGCAGCGACGCCGCGUGGGUGAUGAAGGCC
RNAcentral lists this ribosomal RNA (397 nucleotides) under uncultured bacterium. RNAcentral's name for it is "bacterial SSU rRNA". It matches the Rfam family "Bacterial small subunit ribosomal RNA", at positions 29 to 416 of the family's 1533-position model. The record is from RNAcentral.